UGGGGAAUUUUGGACAAUGGGGGCAACCCUGAUCCAGCCAUGCCGCGUGCGGGAAGAAGGCCUUCGGGUUGUAAACCGCUUUUGGUCGGAAAGAAAAGGCCGCCUUGAAUACGGGUGGUUUUUGACGGUACCGGCAGAAUAAGCACCGGCUAACUACGUGCCAGCAGCCGCGGUAAUACGUAGGGUGCGAGCGUUAAUCGGAAUUACUGGGCGUAAAGCGUGCGUAGGCGGUUUCUGAAGUCCGCUGUGAAAGCCCCGGGCUUAACCUGGGAAUGGCAGUGGAAACUAGGGGACUUGAAUCUGGCAGAGGGGGGUGGAAUGCCGCGUGUAGCAGUGAAAUGCGUAGAGAUGCGGCGGAACACCGAUGGCGAAGGCAGCCCCCUGGGCUGAGAUUGACGCUGAGGCACGAAAGCGUGGGGAGCAAACAG
RNAcentral lists this ribosomal RNA (428 nucleotides) under uncultured bacterium. RNAcentral's name for it is "bacterial SSU rRNA". It matches the Rfam family "Bacterial small subunit ribosomal RNA", at positions 355 to 775 of the family's 1533-position model. The record is from RNAcentral.